This is a long non-coding RNA of Hevea brasiliensis (rubber tree), 11236 nucleotides long. RefSeq lists it as uncharacterized. NCBI's taxonomy places the organism in Eukaryota, Viridiplantae, Streptophyta, Magnoliopsida, Malpighiales, Euphorbiaceae. The record is from RefSeq and is a predicted model, not a curated record. The transcript is spliced from 10 exons.
CCCAAUUGGAUCUUACAAAACAAUUCUAGGUUAUGAGUUAUGAAUUUGAUGAACAACUCAUUCACGGGAACUUUUCAUUUGCCAAACUACAAGCAUGAUUUGCUUGAGUUUGAAAUUUCGUGCAACAACAUCACUGGUGUGCUGCCCAAGGAGUUUGGUUUGGUCCUCUCAAAUCUACAAUAUAUAAACAUGUCAAGAAAUAAUUUCAACGGGGAACAUUUUUUCUCAAAAUAUGAACUUGAGAAGCUUGACGACAUUGGAUAUGAAAAACAACAACUUCAGUGCGAUGAUAGGCGUAGACUUCUUGGACGGAUCCUCCCUAUCUUUUUUGGACAUAUUCAAUAAUAAGGUAUCAGGUUCAUUUCCUAGACAACUAUGUAAUAUGAGUAGUCUUGAAUUUUUAGACCUCUCAGAAAAUAGGUUAUAUGGGCCUAUGCCUUCUUGCCUAAAUGCUUCAUCAUUGCGCUUCUUGUUUUUACAAAAGAACAGUCUAAAUGGAUCCAUACCCCAUGUGCUUCUUAGAAGUCCUAAUUUAGUGGCACUUGAUCUGAGGGAUAAUAGUUUUUCUGGAAAUAUUCCAUCUUGGAUCAGUUAGCUCUCCCAAUUGCAUGUGCUUUUAUUGGGAGGUAAUGAAUUACAUGGCAGUAUUCCUAAUCAGUUGUGUGAAGCAAUAACUGUGAGUAUCAUGGAUCUUUCAAGUAAUUUACUUUCAGGUUCCAUACCUUCGUGCUUUAAUAACAUAUCUUUUGGGAAUAAUAUAUCAUUUAGAAUGAUGGGAGUCUAUUAUUUUUACCCUAUGAAUGAAAGAUAUGAAGUCGUUUGUGCUCCAAGAGAUAGCAGUAUUGACUUGUAUCUGCCUUGUGUACCUUGGGAUUCUUGAGAAUAUGUGGAAGUGGAAUUUGCAAUGAACUCUUCCAGGAGUGAUAUUAUCAACUUGAUGGCAUGAAUAGAUUUAUCAUGCAAUAAGUUAAGUGGUAGAAUUCCUCAAGAAAUUAGAGACCUGCAUGGAAUUCGGUCAUUGAAUUUGUCUGACAAUCACUUAACAGGAUCUAUGCCAGUCAGUUUUUCAAAUUUAAGGAGUUUAAAGAGCUUAGAUCUUGGCAACAAUAAUUUUAAUAGUGAAAUUCCUAGUGAACUAGUUAUGUUGAAUUUUUUGGAAACCUUCAAUAUUUCAUACAACAAUUUGUCAGGUAGAGUCCUUAAUAAAGGGCAGUUUGGGACCUUCGAUGAAAAUAGCUACAAAGGUAACCCCAGCCUUUGCAGAUCACUCAUUCAUAGGAGCUGCAAAACUGAUGAAACUCCACCACCAUCACCAUCUGUUAAUAUAGAAGAGGAAGAUGAAGGUGGUAUUGUUAUGGUGUGAUUCUAUUGGAGUUUCUGUGCAUCCUUUGUCACAAUUCUAUUGUUGUUGGUAGCAAUCCUCUGCAUCAAUAGGCAUUGGUGCAUGUUAUGGUUUAACUUGGUUGAUAUUUGUAUUAAUUCAAUUUUGGUUUGGCUCAAUCAAUAAUUUAUUUAGUGUCUAUACAAAAAUGUAGGCUUUUGCUAGUGCUUGAAGAACAUGAGAACUCCAUUAAUAUGAAUAUUAUUGGUCUGUGCUAGUCAUUGUAAUAAUUGAAAUUUGAAUUUCAUUUCCAUUGCCAAAAGUAGGAUGUAAGAUGCGUCAACAUUAUUUUAAUGCGCUCUUUAAAUUUACUUUUAUUGAUUGUUAUUAUCUUCAUAUAAUAUCUCUUUCUCAUUAUUUAAACUAUUAAAUUUUCUAUAAUAAUAUAAAGGCAUUAAAGUAGGUCUUUCCUUAUUACUAAUAAAUAAACAUGAAAAAGAAAGUAGGUAAAGUAUGUUUUACGUAGAAUUAAACAGCUACAUCUAACGGCAGAAACAACCAGUGGAAAGGGAAUUGAUUUUCCAAGGCCUAAAUCCAAAUUGUAAAAAAUUGGCCACAUUCUAAAAUUAUAACGUAUUAUUAUUAUUAUUAAACUACUGUAGUUUAAAUCUUGUUUAUUUAUUUAAUAUUAUUUAUAAAUCACAAAUAUUUUUUUAAAAGAAACUUUUAAACCUCGAUGUAAGAAAAAUAAAGAAAUGCUUGAAAUGGUUGGAUGUGUGUGUUUUCAACAUGCUUCCUUGAGACUGAGCGUCUUUUAUUUAUUUAUUGUAUCCCUUUGGUUCUAGGCUUGUAAUUUUGUUCCAUCCAGAGUUGCAUUUAGCCUGUGUUUUCCUUGGCUGGGUACACUUGGAUUUUUUAGUUUCGAUGACUUGGAUUACAAAGGGGGUAAAAGAAGAAAGGAGAGGAAGACUAUUCACAAAAAGCAAUUGAAGGAUCAAACAUCUCCAGAUCGCUCAAAGAGCUCAAGCCAGUUUCAGCAUCAAUAGCACCACUGGUGAUUGCUUGCUUCACGUGCAAGAAUUGCUGAAUCUGCUUCCUUUGGUUUCUCCACUCCAGGUGUGAUCUGUACCUUGCUUCCUUUAAUUCUAUGGAUUGUGAUAAAUCUGAUACAAUAUCUGUUAAGUUUAAUGGGAGGAACAAUUCCCUAUGGGAAUUUCAUUUUCAUUUUUUUAUUGAAGGUAAGGGACUUUUGAAUGUUUUGGAUGGUUCAUUAAAAGAGCCUACAGAUGAUAAAGAAAAAGCAAAUUGGAGAGUCAAUAAUGCUAGAGUUAUUACUUGGAUUUUAAAUUCAGUUGAGAAAGACAUAGCUUUAAGCUUGAGACCUUUUAGUACUGCUAAUGAAAUUUGGGUCCACUUACAGAAGUUAUAUUCUCAACCAAAUCAUGCUAGAUUGUUUGAAAUAGAAUAUGAAAUUGCUAGAAUCAAUCAAGAUGAUAAGGAUGUAUGGACAUUUUACUCUGAAGAGUCUGAACUCAUAUGAUUAUGGACUGAACUUGAUAUGGUUUCUAUGAGUCUUGUUGACAAAUCAGCUUAUGCAGAUUUAAAAAAAGAAAGGGACAGAAAUAGGGUGCUGCAAUUUCUUAUGAAGCUUAGGCCAGAAUUUGAGAAUAUAAGGGCCACUAUAGUCAAUCGUGGGAUCACAGAUUUUGAUUCAGUUUUGGUAGAGUUACUUUGAGAGGAAACUCAGCUACAAACUCAAGCUAAUUUGGAUGCAAAAGCUAAUAAUGUUGAUACUAUCUUUUUUGCUUCUUGUAGUAGACCACCAAUAAGAAAAUGAUUGGGGAAAAUGGAACAGUUCAAUGCAGAUUUUGUGGAGAAAUGUACAGUUGCUAGUCUACUUGUGCAACCUCAAAAGCAUUUUUUUGGGGCUCAGUGGCACUGUUACCUGAAUUUUCAUGUAGAGAUAGGACAUUUUAUAAUUGGCAGUUGCAUCACAAAUUAUUUUAUUUAAGUAUCAAGAAGUUAGAUUGUGUAUAGUGUUGAAGUUGCUGGCCUUUUCUAAUGUCUUGGUAUUUUAGUGUUCUUGGUGUUGUAGUAAGGUUUUCCUAUCCUUUUUUAUCUAAUAAAAUCUUUUUCUUAAAAAAAAAAAACAUUAUCACUGGUUAGUCCCUAAGGAAUUUGGUUCAAUCCUUCCAAAUAUGGCCUUUAUAAAAAUGUCAAGGAAUAGUUUUGACUUUUGAUGGCAAUCUUCCUUCUUCAAUUGGUGAGAUAGGAGGACUAUCUUUUCUGGAUUUGUCUAAUAAUAAAUUCUCAUAAGAGUUGCUGGAAGGAAGUUUGCUAAUUGUACCGAUUUAGAUAUAUUAAUUCUAUCAAGCACCAAUUUUCAAGGGAAGAUUUUUCCCAAGAAUAUGAACAUGAGAGACUUGAGGGUCUUAAAAUGAAUAAUAACAACUUCAGUGGGAUGGUUGUAGACUAGUUGAACAGUCCAUUGCUAAUUGUUUUGGACUUAUCCAAUGAUAAGGUAUUAAGUGCAAUUUCGAUUCAGCUAUGUUAAUCUGAGCAUUCUUGAAAUUUUAAAACUCUCACUUAAUAGGUUAUGUGGUCUAUGCCUUCUUACUUCAACGCUUCAACUUUGCGAUUCUUGUUUCUUGAUAAGAAUAGUUUAAGUGUUUCUAUACCCUAUGUGCUUUCUAAAAUUCAUAAUUUAAUGGCAUUGGAUGUCUGGAUCUAAGUGACAAUAGAUUAUCUAGAAAAACUCCACCUUGGAUCGGCCAGCUUUCCAAAUUGUGAGUUCUUUUUGUUAUAGUAAGCAUGCAAAUCUAAGGCAUAUAUACAAAUCGCACAAUUGCACAGUAUAGAAAAAAUAAGAAGAAUAACACAUGAUUAAUCGUGGUUCGACCGUAUAGUCUGUCUACGGGCAAGACAAGAGGAAAAGUUUCACUAUGAUGAAAAAGACAAGAUACAAUUACUCAGAACUCUUAAAUCUUAACCUAAGUGUAUUUCUCAAAUAUUUCACAAUUCGAUCGCAAAGGGCAGAAUAUUACAAUAUUUAUAAUGGUCUUUAAAAAAAAAAAAAAUAUAUAUAUAUAUAUAUAUAUAUAUAUAUAUAAUAACAAAUAUAAUUUCUUUUGGCAAAUAACAAAGUUAUUUACUAAUCCCAUCAAUAAUAAAAAAUUAUUUUAUUUAUAAUUAUUAUCAAUAAUAAAAAAUUAUUUUAUUUAUAAUUAUUAAUUUUAUUGUUGCGAAUUGAGAUGAAAUAAUAUAAUUUAGUCAGUGCUUUUAAAUUCUAAAAUUCAACUCACUUAUAUUUGUAAGAUUAUCUAAAUAUAUUACUUUUCUUUAUACAAAAUUUUCAACUUUUAAAAGUUCAGAGAUUUUGAAUUUGGAGCACAAUGAAUUAACAGGAUGUAUUCCUGAAUAUAUGUGGACUCCACCUUUUCUCAAAGUAUUAUCUUUAUCUAACAACAAACUCAAUGGCUCUUUACCGAAUCAAAGUAAGUAGCAAAAUUCCAAUUUUGUUAUUAUCAAUUGUAAUGAUUUUGUUACAUAGAAUGGAGAUGAUAAUGUUAUUCUUUGUUAUAUAGGUUUGUGUGGCUUGAAGAGUCUUCAAGAGUUAGAUCUCAGAUUUAACAAAUUUAGGGGCAGUCUUCCAUAAUGCCUUGACAAUUUGACAACUCUCACAUUCUUAGAUGUGUGUGGAAACCAAUUAACAGGCCAUAUUCCUUCAUCUUGGCCAGCUAACCUUAAAUGUAUUAGUCUUAGCAAUAAUCUUUUUGAGGGCUUAUUCUCUUUCAAUUUAAUUGCUAAUUAUUCUACCCUUGAGGUGGUUCUAUUAAGUGGCAUAACAUUGCAUUUGAUGAAACUAGUUAGAUUCCAACAUUUCAGAUAAAAGUUCUUAUAAUGCAAAGUUGUGGUCUUGACAGUAUUCCUAGUUUCUCUUUCACCAAUUCAAAUUGGAAGUCCUCGACUUGUCUCACAACAAACUCAAAGGAAGGUUUCCUAAUUGGUUGCUUGAGAACAGUGGAGGAUUUGAGAUCCUAAAUCUUAUGAAUAAUUCUUUCAAUGGGUGGCUUGAAGAAAUUGGUAAAAAGAUGCUUCCGAAUAUGGGAUAUCUUAAUUUAGCCAGAAAUUGUUUUCAAGCUUAAGGGUUGUGCUUUACCAGUCUUGUGUCAAGGAAUCAUCUGGAGGUCAGUCACCUCACCACUCCUUUGAUGAUUCAGAAGCAUCUAGGUGUCUUGUUCGACAAGUAAUUAAAGAAAGUUUGACCAAGUUGGAGGAGAUGCCUGUUGCUUCUUAAAGGUCCAUUAGACGGGAACCGGGUUCAUGUUGGAUGCAACAUCUGCAAAAGCAGGAAACUCCAUCAGAUACUGAUUCUAAACACUCUGAGGAGGAUACUGAGACCGAACAUGCUGUAAAAGGUCUUGGAAAAGAAUUUAAGUUCUUGAAGAAGAGGGAUAAAAAAACUAGUAUGAAUGGCACCCUUGAGAAGGAAGAAACUAAAACUGGCCUCUGCAGACUAAAUGUUAGAACUGAUGAAGGACGGCAUAGCAAUGGAGACUCCAACAGUGAAAAUGAAUUGAAGGAAUUGAUUUCUGAAGAAGCCUUCUUCUGUCUGAAAGAAUCUGGAACUGGCCUUCAUUUAAAGUCAGUGGAUGAGCUUAUUCAAAUGGCAUAUGGAUAUUAUAAUGAAAUUGCUUUGCCAAAGCUGGUAACAGACUUUGGCUUGCUAGGACUUUCCCCUGUUGAUGGACGUACACUAACUGACUUCAUGCAUUUAAGGGCACUACAGAUGCGCUCUAUGGGCCGGGUGUUCGAACUGGCAGAGAAGCUUCCUCAUUUACAAUCACUUUGUAUCCAUGAGAUGGUUACUAGAGCUUUCAAGCACAUAGUGAAAGCAGUUAUUGCAUCUGUGGAGAAUGUAGCAGACCUAUCGGCAGCCGUAGCUUCUUCCCUAAAUUUCUUCUUUGAAUCAUGUAAUAUGGAAGAUAAUAACCAAAAUAUGAAGGAUGAUUAUAAUCUCAAAUUGCAUUGGUUACAAACGUUUCUUUCUAGAAGAUUGGUUGGACAUUAAAAGAUGAGUUUCUCCACUUGAGAAAGUUAUCAAUUCUUUGAGGACUUUGCCAUAAGGUGGGGCUGGAGUUAGUUCCAAGAGAUUAUGAUAUGGAAUGCCCAAACCCUUUCAGGAAAUUUGACAUCAUCAGCAUGGUUCCUGUGUGUAAGCAUGUAGGAUGCUCUUCAGCAGACGGACGAAAUUUAUUGGAGUCAUCCAAGAUUUCUCUUGAUAAAGGAAAGCUGGAGGAUGCUGUUAAUUAUGGAACAAAGGCACUAGCAAAGAUGAUAGCUGUAUGUGGUUCCUAUCAUUGGACUACUGCAAGUGCUUAUAGUCUUCUAGCUGUAGUUCUUUACCACACUGGAGACUUUAAUCAGGUAAUAAAACUUCUCUGCCAUGUAUCUGCUUUAGUUUUAGGAAUUUGAUUUGGGUCAUUCUUAUUUCCCUUCAAGCAAAGGCAUUUGUCUAAAUCAUUAGAAUUAUUUGUUGAAGUGAAGCAUAAAAUGGUGCAUUUAAUUGGUAUAUGAUUGGAUGUAAAAAAGAUUCCAAGUUCUUAAUAUCUCUAAUUAUAGAAUGGCUAUUCAAGAAUCAGAGUAGAUCUUAGAAGUUACUGCAGUGCGUCAGUUUCUUAUUAAUAUGUGUUAUUUUUUGUAGCUUGAAUUUUGGAUAUAUUUUUCAAGGACUUGAAUUAUGACCCGACUCUAAAGUUUUCGUGCUGUGACCCGAUUGGAAUAAAAAGUGAGAUUUGUGGUGGUAGCGGAGGGCAUAGGCCGAUAGUGGAACUUUUUUCAUCAUAGUGGAACUUUUUUUGAAAGUUCUGAGUGAUUGUAUCUUGUUUUUUUCUUUAUAGUGGAACUUUUUUUCUUGUUUUUUUUCUUCAUAGUGGAACUUUUUUUCUUUUGUCUUGCCCGUGGACGUAGACCUUGUGAUUGAACCACGUUAAAUUCUAUAUUAUUCUUAUUCUUUUUUUCUAUACUGUGUGAUUGUGCAAUUUGUGUAUGCCUUAGAUUUGCGUGCUUGUUAUAACAAUAUGGUAGGUGUUUGCAUGUUUGAGCAUCGAUUAUUGCUAGCAGAAAACGAAGCGGACGCCUCAGUAACCGAAAGAAUAAAUGCUUUGACUGAACCAGCCCGGAUAGAGGAGAAGAUUCUAGAAUGAGAGAGAUCGGGAGAGAGGCCCGGCAUGAGAGAUCGGAAAAGGAUUGUAUUAGAAAGAUCGGAAGGGAUGGGAGAUCGGAAAGCAAAGAGAGAAUAAGACAACUUCCAAUAACUGUCGUCAUAAUCAGAGCCGAGGUAGUUAAAGCGUUGCAGACGAGAUCAAAUCUCCAUUGCACGCCUCAUUUGCAGAACCGCCUACAUUGCUGACAGGUGCCAGGAUAUGUCAUGACAGUCCUGUACAUCUCGAUCUCCACCGUUGAUCUUACUUGGAAGGACAAGCCCAGAGCCCUUAGAUCAAAGAGAAGACGACAAGACCGGUGCCUUUUAUUCCCGGCCCUCAGAUCUCCCUUGAUAAGAGGAUUUUGAGCCGUUGGAUUAGAAAAGAGAAAGGACAAAUAUUCUGAAUAGGAUCUCAGCCAUUCAUUUUGAUUCUCUUCAAUUCUCAAGCAUCAGAUCAUGUCCUUUAAAAUCCAAACCUUCCAUCUCCCUCAAAGAAAAUCCUGACCCUUCAUUGGGAGCACCCGUUCCCUAUAAAUACCUGCAUGAAAACUGUUGAAGGGGGGAGACGAACAAAAAAGGGGUGGUGAUUAUAGUAGAAAGGCUCUGAAACUUGAUUCAGUCUUGCUACUCUGCUAUUUUUAAGCUUUCAAAAUAGAAAAACUUCAGAAACUAGUUUUCUAAAGAUUUCCAUUGAAGGAGGGUUGAAUACUGAAACUCUUCAUUUUCAGUUUGUUCAUUACUCUGUGAUACCAUCCCCCAGUUUCAGUUUUGUCUUCAUCAUCUUUAUAUCAACUUUUUUAAGCUCCAUCUCAUUCCAACCCGGUUACUGUUACUUCGGUUCGACUGCAUUUUAACUCGGUAUUCUGUAUUUCAAGGCAAGCAUUACUCCCCAGAUUAUUAGCUCGCAGCUCUACUAUAGUUGUGACUUCACAGUUAGUUCAAUAGAUUCAACUCCCCACAGGUGAGCGUCUGAACCGUUGUUUUGUCAAGCUUUUUUAUUUUCCUUUGUUUUCAUGCUCGUAAUUUUCAUCAAGUUUAUGUCAUGUUAAAGAGUUCCACGAGGGUAGUUAUUCUCUUGAGUUUACCUCUUAUUCAUCAGUUCAUUUGUUCUUAGCCUUAUUACCUUUAGAUAUAGGUGUUCUGGUUACGAGUAACGUAUAAGUAGUUUAAUAGAAUGUUGGUAGCUGUGUCUUAACACAAGAGUUUCUUUAAAAUAAUAAAAGUUUGGAUAAUAAAUCAGAGGAAAAUUAUGAAGUCGAAUCACUAGACUAGCUCAGAAGAUGACUAGUAUAGUGGGGGAUCAAAGUAAGGUCGGACCCCAGACUAACAAACGAAAGAGAUCGAAUAUUGCCUGUCGAAAGGUACUGGUAAGGCGAUUAAAUAGGAGAUCGGUAAAAAUUCAGUCUGGUAUCCCCUAUCUAGUUAUAAGGUACCAAUGGGUUAAGAGAAGCCUGAUUCGGGUUCCCAGUGUCUUCGGAUGCCAGAACCCUUAGUCUAAGGUCCUUGCGCUAUACGAUCGUAACUAAAUUUCAAGAGGUCAAGGGAGAGUUCUUACCCAAUCCUCAUUCGAACAAAAAAGAGGAGAUCGGAGGAGAGUUCUUAUCCGAUUCUCAAUCAAAUUUUAAAUAUUAAAGAGAUCGGAGGAGAGUUCUUAUUCGAUUCUUAAUCAAAUUAUAAAUAUUUAAAGAGAUCGGAGGAGAGUUCUUAUCUGAUCCUCAAUCAAAAUUUUAAUAAAUAUUAAAGAGAUCGAAGGAGAGUUCUUAUCCGAUUCUUAAUCAAAUUAUAAAUAUUUAAAGAGAUCGGAGGAGAGUUCUUAUCUGGUCCUCAAUCAAAAUUUUAAUAAUUAUUUAAAGAGAUCGGAGGAGAGUUCUUAUCCGAUUCUCAGUCAAAUUUUAAUAAAUAUGGGGAGACCGGAGGAGAGUUCUUAUCCGAGAUUCCCCAUCCAAAUUUUAAACAGAUUAUCCCUAGAGAUCGGGAGAAGCUUUUACUCGGAUUCUCUUAAAUCCAAACUAAAAUGGCACAAUACGCAAAGUAACCCUCUAAACAAAACCGUUACGCAACACCAACUCACUAAGGGUCGUCUCCUGUACUUAUGUAUUUGGGUAACCCGAAACAGUGAAAAAUUAAAUAUUCCCUCUUAUCAAAGGGAUUAACAUCUUCAUUCUAACCCCCCUAGCUAUCGAUUUUAAUUUAUAAAGAGCAUAAUGUUAAAUCUGUUUGCCCUCAUAGAUGGUUCCCCGCCCGUAUACGGACCCCGAACCUAGAAUCUUUGUUUUCGAAGUGGUUUCAUUUUAAUUUAUUUUCACAAAUGAUUUUCUUUAAUUUCCCUCAAAAUUAAAGUGGCGACUCCUCACUCUUUUCCACUUCGGUGAGUGUUCGUCCAGGCGACCGCAAAAUACCUUGCGACAGGUAACACCUACAGAGUGAGACCAUCUGGUCUCCAAUAUGGGGUCUGGGAUAGUUUUUGCAUUACAAUGGAUGUUUUGCCUAAAGUUUAGUGAUUGUGUGGCAGUAAGGCACAGGGUAUGACUUUGCUCCCCUAAAAAGGAGAUCGAAUGCUAUGAAUGGUGUUCAUAGCCUGUGAAAUGAUGCUUUAAGGAGUUUGCAAUAUGAUAAGAGAGCAGAUAGCCUAACAUGAUCUUAUCUUUUCAAGAGGGACAAAAGGUUACUGCUAGUGAUGGUGACCUAUGAAAUAGUAUCCCAAAUGAGACUAUUGAGUGAGGUAAAUAGUUGUUAGCUUAGGUAUCCUGGAGAGGGUACAAGUUUCAUUGUAGGAAUCAUAAGUGAUCAGAUCAUGAUAGAUGUAAAGCCUUUGAAUUGAAUAAAUAUCUUAAGUUUUGGCUAAUUGAGUGGAUAUGAAAAAAUAGAAUCCCUGCAGAUCCCCUCCUUAAAGUAGUAGGAGAUAGUAUGUAGUCUAAAGGAUAAGGACAGAGAUCAUACAAUAAAUGCGUGGCUGCAAUUCUCUAAGUUUCUUUUCAACUUCUUAUUACUCGAGAAAAGAGUAUGCUCUAAACAAAUGAUAUUAAGGGCAGUAAGUCAGCAAAGGCAAAUUACAGAAUGUCAGUAAAUAUAAAAAGCGUAGAAGUGAAAAUUUUGACAGUUGAUUGCAGAUGCAGCAUAAUCCGAAUGUCAGUAGAAGUACUAGUUAGAGUGAUCAAAGGACUAAUUCUGAGUAACAUUGAGGUGUAGAUGACUUGGUAGAGACAGUAAAAAGGUACAAGUUUCUAACAUGACAGUCAAGUCAAGAAAGAGAAUAGAGUUAAAGAAUAAAAUAGUCAAAGUUCAAAUUUGGGUAAGAUAAAAAGAGUUGGCUAAAGAACAAACUGAAAGGCCCAAAUUAUGAUAAGAUUUGGAAGAGUAGAGUCAAGAUACAGAGGAGACAAAAUACAGUUCUAGAAAAAGUAAACGAUCUCUUUGGGGGGUGUAGGGCAAUGCCUUCGCGAUAUGAAUUAGUAUAAAUAUUAUAAUAUUCUGUCACUUGCAGUAGUGAGAUAUUCAAGAAACACACUGGAGUUAGGUUUGAGAGUUCUGAAUGAUUGUAUCUUGCUCUUUUUAUCAUAGUGAAACUUUUUUUCUUGUCUUACCCGUAGACGUAGACCUUACGGUAAAAUCAUAUUAAAUCCCAUAUUUAUCUUCUUAUUUUUUCUAUAUUGUGUGAUUGUGCAAUUUUUGUGUGUAUUUUAGAUUUGCAUGCCUGUCAUAAUUGUAUC